CGAUGGCGCAGGCGGGGCUCCCCGCAGUCCCCGCCUAGGAAGUGGUUGCCCACAGGUCCGGACGGGAGCGCCCAGGGGCCGGAGAGCCGGCUAACCGCCAGAUCGGGUGUGGCAUCCCACCAGCAGGAGACCACCCUCCCUUAGCCUUGGUUUAGAGGUUCCGAAGGAUUAUUUGAACUCCUGUUCAAAAUGUCAGCUCUGUGGUUGAGGUUUCCGUUCCGGAGGGCACCCUGGUCUAGGCCUUGCCCAGCUGCAGGAAAGCAGGUUCCUAUGUUGACUAGUUGAGACAAAUAUAAAUAUGGCUUUCUACAGUUAUAAUACAGUCUUAGCUAUUGCCCGAACAAGAUUCCCUAGCCAUUUUGUCCAUCCCACCAGCUCUUCUUAUUCCCCGUCGUUUGCAUUUCUUCACUUGCCAGAUUCCCAAUUAAAUAAAACUUACAUGAAGUACUAUGGAAGCAAGAAGUACUCCUGUCCUAAUCAGUCAGGCAAUAAAGUACUUCACUUACAAACUAGAAUAAUACAAAAGCUACACACAUCAACUUGCUGGCUGCAAGACGUCCCUGGUAAACCUCAGCCGGAACAAACCCCAAAAAAGCCACAGGUGAUGAACCCCAAGCCCACGAAGGGAACUGGCAUGAAGAUUAAGGAAGAAAAGCGAUCUUACAGACAAAAAAUUAUGGAUGAACUUAAAUAUUAUUACAAUGGAUUCUAUUUGCUUUGGAUUGACACCAAAGUUGCUGCCAGGAUGGUUUGGAGGCUAUUGCAUGGACAGGUGCUGACCAGACGAGAGAGACGAAGGCUCUUGAGAACUUGUGCUGAUUUCUUCCGCCUGGUUCCAUUCAUGGUGUUCUUCAUGGUACCCUUCAUGGAGCUCUUAUUACCAGCAUUUCUGAAAUUCUUUCCAGAGAUGUUACCGUCAACUUUUGAAAGUGAAUCCAAAAAGGAAGAAAAACAGAAAAAGAAAAUGGCUGCAAAGUUGGAACUAGCAAAAUUUCUUCAAGAAACAAUUACAGAAAUGGCAAGGAGGAACAGGGCCAAGUUGGGAGACGCCUCUACACAGUUCUCAUCCUACGUCAAACAGGUCCAGACAGGCCACAAGCCCAGUACAAAGGAGAUAGUUCGCUUUUCCAAACUGUUUGAGGAUCAGCUAACCCUAGAGCACCUAGACCGACCUCAGCUGGUUGCCCUGUGCAAACUCCUAGAAUUGCAGCCCUUUGGAACCAACAAUUUGCUUCGCUUUCAACUUCUGAUGAAACUGAAGUCUAUAAAAGCAGAUGAUGAAAUAAUUGCCAAAGAAGGGGUGAGUGCUUUGAGCGUGUCAGAACUGCAGGCUGCCUGCAGGGCCCGAGGAAUGAGAUCCCUGGGUCUCACCGAGGAACAACUGAGACAGCAGCUCACAGAGUGGCAGGACCUCCACCUGAAGGAGAACGUCCCUCCUUCUCUGUUGCUCCUGUCCCGAACCUUCUACCUGAUAGAUGUGAAGCCAAAGCCAAUUGAGAUACCACUGAGUGGGGAGUCUCCAAAGAUGGCUAUUCCUGCGGAAGCAGCUACUUCUCCUGAAUCUAAAGAGAACCUGCUGGAUGUAGCGCCUCCACUGAAGGGAACUAAGGAUGAAGAAUUUAUACAACUGCCCCCAGUCACCUCGUCACUCAUGAUGCCACCCUCACCUCUUUCAUUGCCUAAAGGACCCAUCCCUUCUGCUAAAGAAGCUAAUUUGGGGCAAGAGCAGAAGCAUGACACAAAUCAGCGGUAGGGGGGCCAUUGGAGAGUUGGACGGUGGCUGUCUCCACUGGCACCAGAGAAGAGAGCCAGCGAACACGCAGAUGUCCGGGGGUGAACAUCCAGGGGCCUUGCUUGCAGGUGUUUUUAUUAUCAAGACACUGCAGGCCAAAUCACAGAAGACAGCCCAGAACAGCAAGGCUAGUUCAAAAGGGGCUUAAGGACUCCUGGAGGACGAAGCUCAUUCUCUCCAGCCCCCUGCCCUCCGCAGUGGCAUCCAUAAAGGACCACCUGGCUAAGACGAUCUGUCUGGUUUGAGCAGAGGAUCAGCCAUUUCGUCCGUGGGGCCUUGUAACCAUUCCAGAUGAUGUUAGCAGUGAGACCAAGUUCAGACCACUUAGAAAUAUAAUUGCAAAGCCAACUUCCUCUGCACCAUUAUGUCAUUUCCACUAGACUUUGCGUAAAGCCCCCUCCCCAUGUUAUUUUUGAACAGCUUCAUAUUUGUGUGCAUGUGCUCCACGGGAGGAAAUUUUUUUGCAUAAUGGAAUCAGCCUGGCACCUUAGAUAGCUCGCGUGAGAACCCGGAAACUCCAAAACCUUUGUAAGACCACCUGACCUUUCCAGUGACCCAUCAGUAUGAAUAGUGCCCUGGAAACAGAGUGCCUGACAAAAUGGAAUGGACGUACCCCCCGUUGAAGUCUUUCUGGACAUAAAGAAGAGAAAGCUCUUUGGAGAAGAAAAUGGGGAGUUAAACGGACUGGCAAUCAAAAAGGCUUGGCUGCUGCUUGGCUGUUGUGAGUCGUCCCCUCUGGGGCCUGCAGAGGCUCCAGGAAUCUGGGAGGCUGCCACCACUCCUGCACAUGUGGCUUUCAUUAGCCACCAUUUUGCCAGGAAACAUAAUUAAGGGUUUAAGGCUUAACCAUUUGUCUGUGCUGGGUGUAUGUUUUUCUAGUCUGUUUGUCUUUCACAAACAAGACUAUUUGUUAGUCAUAGGGGUUGUUAAAGUCUGAUAUAAUCCCUGUGCUACCCAGUAACGAGCAUUAUGUUCAGAUAUUUACGUUCGUUAGGUGUGUUCAGUAUUGUUAAUACUGAAAAAAAAAAAAACUUAAUAGAUUGCCAUGCAGCUGACCCAACAGCUUUCUUCCCUUGGGGAGUGCUUAGAAAAGAAAUGAUAUUUUGGCCGGUGGGUGAUGAAAUUAGUUUUCUUUGCUUGCUGUGAAAUUGAAAGCAGUUAGAUGGGAGUCAAUUAAACCGAGUAAAACGCAAAUCUCCCUCUCUGGGAUCACCUACAUGAGGACUGUCGUCAGCACUUCACAGCAAGGAUAUGUACCUUACAAUGCUUUUCAAGCCUCCUCUACACCAGAGGAAAAGCCCCACUCUGGCCUGCUAAAUGAAUCCUACCAUGCACAUUCCAUGGAUCUUGCUAUUGGCCUAGUAAGGUGAUUCACAAUAAACUUUCCCAUUUUUAAAAUGA
RNA transcript from Suricata suricatta (meerkat), 3193 nucleotides. It is a transcript of the gene named leucine zipper and EF-hand containing transmembrane protein 2, with no coding region annotated. The record is from RefSeq and is a predicted model, not a curated record. NCBI's taxonomy places the organism in Eukaryota, Metazoa, Chordata, Mammalia, Carnivora, Herpestidae. The transcript is spliced from 12 exons.